Xyrichtys novacula (pearly razorfish) is the source of this 9633-nucleotide non-coding RNA. The record is from the annotation of a GenBank genome assembly. Lineage: Eukaryota; Metazoa; Chordata; Actinopteri; Labriformes; Labridae.
UUGCAGUGUGUUGGUGUUUGGAGCUGUUGUCUCUGACUUUAACUUGUUUCCCCGAACCUCUUUCUGAAUGAGGCUCAGUGUGCAUGAGUGCCUAUGUUGCUCCCCGACUUCGUGGCUUCAAACGAGCUCAGAAAGCUGCCUCGUUAUACUUUCCAGACGUGUGUGAUGUAUGGGCAUGUACACUUGCAUGCGUUUAUCAGUCACAGCCUUAACGAGAGGAAAAGCGCAGCGUGGAAUUCCCGUUACGCAUCAAUGUAUCGCGCGUAAACAGUGCACCGCCAAACUGCACUAGGAUUAUUGCGAUUGAUUGAGUCAUGUUCAUUUUUCCAGACUGAAACACAAUAGAAUAAAUCUUUGCUAUAACUCAAAACACCCAGUUUAAUGUGCUCUAAUAAUCGGCUAACAUCUUACACCAAACAUUGUGCUAAAUGUUAUGAAAGUCAGAAUAUUGGAAACCAUGCAACUUGUAGUCUUCUCCUGCUGGAAUACAGUCCAAUCAAAAAGAAAGCUGAAAGUUGAGAUUGUGUAGAUUGAUUCUCUUUACACAACACAUUUCCUACUGAAUUGACACCAUAAAUACUAAUGGGCAUUUCAUUUCUUUCUAUUCCACAUGAGAUUCAUCUUGGUGCAGGAGCCACUGAGAUGAGAUUUUGUAGUGUUUCAAGUUUUAAUGAACGUAAACUAUCGAGGUUUGGUCAAACUGUCCGUACUGUACUUUGAUGGCACUGUGCAGAAAUAGCGCACAGAGUCACUGUUCAGCUGCUGUCUGUCUGCGUUAUAUAACCGAGCCCAAAGCACCACCACUGACUGACAGACACAUCCUGAUCUACUGCUGCUCUGCUCCGGUGCAGCACACAUGGACCCAGAGUACAUAUUUAUCUGGAAUGGUUGUGCAUGUUUGUAUGUGUUGGUGCUUGCGUGUGGACUCCACAAGCUCACAUUUAUGGAGAUAUUUAUUGCAAAAAUGUGAAGUUAUGGUUGAAAACACGUGAUAAUUGGGCCUACAUAUGUUAUAGUAACAUACUAUUUAAUAUUCAUGCAGGGCUUGGUGGUGCAGACAGUAUUGUUGCAUGUAGGGGUUGAACAGCGUGUUGUCAUACUGUGAACUGCUCUUUGGUUAUUUCUUUACAAUUUCUUCAUGGCUCCAUGACGGCCACAUACUGUGAUUUUACCCAAUACAUUUUUAAAGUGACAUGUAAUUUAAUGAACACAUCUAUGAGGAGUUUCUAUCUUAUUUUAAAACAGGCAUAAAGUUAUUCUAAUUUCUUUAAACAUAACCUCAGCAGAUUCUAAAUAAAGGUAAGAAAACACUCCCAAAAUGGUCAGAUUUUAUUACUUAUUAUCAGACAUCAAUAAACAUGAGAUCACAGUCUUCAACGUAUUGAUAUGAAAUUUCAAAUUCAAUCAAUCAAAUUUUGUUUAUAUAGCUCCAAUUCACAACAGUCAUCAUCCCAAGACGCUUUCCAAAGAAAAAGAGCAGGUCUAGACCACGCGCUUUGUUUGAUAAAUUAUCAAGACCCAACCUAAGAUGGGAUUUAGCCCAUCUCAUCUAACAUGAGUAACAGUGGCAAGGAAAAACUUCCUUGUAACAGGCAGAUACCUUGAACAGGACCAGACUCUUGUUAGACAGCCACCAGGCCGCUGCUGGGUUGGGGAGGAACACACAUAGAGAGAGAGAGAGAGAACAAGAUAGAGGGAAGAAGAGGGAGAAAAGGUAAGGGGGAGGGAGGGAGAGAGAGUAGAGAACGGGGGUGAGAGAGAGAGACAGGGGACAGCAGCAACAACAGCAACAGCUCAUGUAAUGGUGAAACAAAAUGAAUUCAGUUUACAGAGUUAGGAUAGGAGUGAUUCUGGACUAUGUUAAAUUAAUUAAAUGUGAUUACAGUCAGCAGGCCUAAUAGUAGUUAACUCUAGUUUUAUGUUAUUAAUGUCAGUGAGGCUGAUGUUCAUGUCUGCAGCAGCAGUCUAGAGGAAAUUUAUUAUCAUCACCAGCAUUUGGUCCUCAAUUUUUGUAACCACCACAGUUUUGUGAUGGUUACAGGCCGACAAUUUGGACAAUAGUUCAACCCGACACAGCAUAAGUAUGUCUCCAGUUCAGCACUCUCCCUUCAAAGUUUAAAUUUGGAUUACUACUGUGCUUGUCAAUGUCUCUUCUUGAUCACCGACCAAUCAGAAUCAAGAUGGGGUGGGAUUUCUGUUUUUUUUUUUUUUUGUUUGUUUGUUUGUUUUUGGUCAACAAAAAUAGCUGAGGUCGAAAUGGAAGAGAAACAGAUCAUCUUUGAAGAGGUGUAGUGUCCAGGUCUAGAGCUGUUAUGACAUGACUUCUGUGAAGUGUUUUUAGGUUUUCUUUUAAAAAUGAUUUGAAGGAUUUUAAAACAGACUCUGUGGUCAUUAUCAAGGGGAGUGGAAGUGCUGCUGGAUAACUUUGUAACCUGUGUCAAUUAUAAAAGGUGCUAAAAAAAGUGCUCUGAAACAUGUUUUGCACCCAGUGAUUGUGAAAACAGUCAAAUUGAAAGAUCUUUGCAGCAGCAGCAUCAUGCUUACUUCCCCAUCUGGAUUACAGAACACUUUACAGUCAGGUGACACAUUAAAGAAAAGUGAGAACACACUUGAUAUAGAACUAAUUCACAAAUUUUAACAGUUGUAUUUAUGUUUAUCAUAAGAAAGGUCCUGCAAAGUUUUUUCUAUUUGUGGGGAUUUUGGUGCCCCCUGUAGUCCAAGUGGUAGCUGUUAUCUCUUUGCUGUUUUUGUAUGUUAUUCAUGUUAUACAUGACUAAAAAAAAAAAGACAGAAAAACUCACUCUGCUUUCUUUAUGAGUCCAAUAAAUGUUUUCUAGGUGUUGGUGCAUCAGAGUUAAUCAUUUUAUAAUGUUAUGUUUUUAUGUUUAUAUCAUUUUCGUACACUUUGUUUUAACCAGCUUAAAAUAACAAGCGAAGGCCUUCAUUUUCAUCGACGCAUUUAUACAUUGUGGUUUUCUCCACUAUAUUAUAUUCAGAUCUCUUUUCAACAGCUGUGCUAAUGAAGAUUUAAUUGUGCUUGAGGUACUUUAAAGUGAGCUUUUGUUCUUAAGCAGUAGAAGGAUUAUCUCAAGUAUCUGAAAUUAUGUAAUUUUACAUAAACUGUUCUAAAAAAUCUGUAUUAGAUUUACGUAAAGCUAUCUCUGUGAAGGUGCUGCAGCAGUCAGUCCCCUUGUCUGGCCCACGCUGGCCUGCUUCGGCCUAUCCUGAAUGAAUGAGCCACAGUCAAAUGGCCUUGAGGCCUGAUGGAACUUUUUCGACAGGAUUACACAAUCAACCAGGCUUCUAAUUUAGCAGCUAAUCCAGAUUAAGGUGCUGUGGUUUGUCUGUGUUCCCAGCCUGGGUCUCAGACUCUGCUGCUGGGCAGAAUCUGCAGCAAUACAGCAAGUAUUCAGUUUCUGUCUGAACACAGGGACGAUGCUCCUGAAUAAUUUACAAACUGAACAUCAGGCUCUGUUGAAGGAAGCUUGUAACUAGAGAUUUAGACCAAAUUCGUUUAAAAAAGAGUAAUGAAUCAAGGAGGGAGCAGGCUAAUGGUGAGCAGAAUUCCUCAGCUACUACUUGAGUUGCCCCUGCUGGUUGUUAGAAAUAAUGCAGGUUUACUGAGUGCUCAUAUUGAUUUAGACCAUAGCUAUUUCGCCUUUUUUUCUGAGUAUGUGAGUGCACCUGUGGAUACAGAAGGCUGUCUCUAUGAGAAGAGGAGGGGGCAGCUUGGAGAGUCCACUCACAGAAACAUGUCUGCUCUAACUUUGCACAAACAGUAAUAGCACUCUGAAAAGUUUCUUGUCUACAGUGUUGGGCAGUAACUCUGCUACAUGAGAGCUCCCUGCCCUUCCUGGGGGUUAGAGGGAUGCUAAAGCGUGCAUCAGGGAGAGAGACAGACUGAUUCACUGAGUAGAUUAAUGGCAUUUUGACAUAACCGGUAUCAUGGCAGCAUCGGCCUCAUUAGGCCAAUCGCCAAUCCUUUUCCAAUUAAAAACACAUUUCCUAUCACCCAUUGAAAGCAUAUCAAAUCCAAAGCAGACAUCGACUGCUGUUCAAAUUGUAUUGUUGAAUGAAUUUCUGCUGCAGGAAAAGUAAAAACGGCUGAUUUUUAUUGUACAUAUUUUCCCACAGAAGUUAAAAGAGUUUAAAAUUACAACAUAGAUAUUAUGAAUAUUGUCAGUGAUGGUCUUGUUUACUUUAUCACAUCAUAGAGAUGUUUAAUGUUCAUCUCAGUGUAUCUGUAGUCUCCUCACAGUAACAAUUACAUGCAAGAAAAAUUAUGAGCUAAGCUAUCAGCUGAUAAAGGCUGGAGUGAGGAUCACGUUACGGCCAUUUUUUUCACAUCAAAGUUGAAUCACUCUGGUAAAGUCAUAAAUCAAACAGCCAAAGAGUGGCAGAUCAUACGGACAUCAAUCUCAAAGAUUAUCAUUCACCGUUAUCUAAUGAUGAGUCCAUUAAGGCAGGGACUCCUUUUUCUGAGAUAAGUUUACAUCCGAAACAGAAACUUGUGAUUUACUUCAAAUUUGAGGGUCUGGAGUUUGCUGAAAUUAUUUGAUCACAAAAUUGAAAACUUCAUCCGUAAGAGGAGGUAAAAAAAUCUAACCACUGAUAGAGCAAUGAGCAGAUUUGUGUCGCAAGUUGUAAUUUCUGAUUUAAAAAGACUUGUUAGCUGUUCAUGCAUGAAGAUAUCUGUUUAUAAAGACUAUCAUUGACAUUGAAUGUGUAUAUAUAAGGCUUAUAUGUUAAAGAAAAUUGAUUUGAUGUACACUACUAUAGCCUAGCUUGCUUCACUUCUCUUCAUUAUAGUCAAGCUUGAUUCAAUGUAGAGUGACUCAGCUCACUAUAUUUUACGAAAAGCUUGCUCAGUGCUGCUUACCAAUGGUUUACCAACUUUGAUCAGAUUUAAGUGUAGUGGAGUUUCUUGGUUUUAGACACUAGCAUUGCUGUUUUUGUGAUCUUCUCCUCUUAAUGCGUUCAGCAUGGAGAAUCUGACAGAGACUGAGAGAGAGAGAGAAAGAAAGAGAGGGACUGAGGGAGAGGAGCUCUGUGAACUAUAAAUAGACAGAGGGAGAGUGGUUGUGAUGAUAGCAUCACCACACAAUAAUCCCUCAGUAGGAGUGGAGUUGCUUCACUGCACUACAGCGGUCCUGACAGUGAACAGGUACCCCCUCCACUGUCUCCUGUCAGCAGGGUUAUCUGGUGAACCUGACCCCCUGACCCUCUGCUUAGCCCUGGCCUGUGUGUGUCCAUACUGUAUUAAGCUUGUUAACAUGGAUCUGUGGGUAGAGGAGCAGGUUUCACUCCUACCUGUGAGGUCUAAAUGAAGAAUAAUCCUUUUACAUUUGUAGUGUGCCACAGCUUAUAGGCCAGUUACACAUCACAUCAUGUUCAUUCUCAUUCUGGACAUACAACUGGAAGCAGCAAGAGAAGGCAGGCUAUAAAUCAACUACAAACAUCAAUAUUAUUAUCCACUAGAAAUAUGACUUUUUCCACACCAGACGCUGCCUUUUCUGCAACAAUUUACUGUUGAAAAUAUGCCUCUUUAAUUUUUCUCCUCAAAAAAAUUCUUAUAACAUCCAGGACUGGCCUCUGCAGUUCUACAGCAGAUGCAUUUGCCAAUAAAGCUACUUUUAAUUUUAUUUUAGUUCACAUUGAUGUAAAACCCAAACUCCAACCAGAACCGUAUGUUUUCAUCUUAUUUGAAACAGUGCAAUGACAGCAUAUCAAAAGAUUUAAACAGAGUAUCUGCUCAUGUUUAGUUUGAUCUGCUAUAUGUAGGGACAAGUGCAUGUUUACGGUUUGGUUGCAUCACCUCUUCUCUUAACAUUUGGUGAAAUUUGAGGAAAAUUAGAAGUUUGUGGAGUUUUGAACUGAGUUUUGGACUCUAGCUGCUCAACAUUGUAGGGUCUCUUUUAUUGUACUUUUUGUUUUAUAAUGCACCAAAUGUGUCCAGUGAAUGACAAGCCAGGACAGCAGGCAGGUCAGUAAAGGACUCAGACCUGAACUCCUCCACUACUGAGCCAUGCUGUCAUAGUAUGUGCAAAAUGUGGUUUGGAAAUGUCUAGCUGAAAUAUGAACGGUGUUCCUUGAAGAUGGUGCCUUCAGAAAUGUGUAAGCCACCCAUGCCUUGGGCACUUCUACAUCCCCAUAUCAUCACAGAUUUUAGAUUUGAAACCAUAGGCUGAUAACAAGUUAGUUGUUGCACCUCCUCUAUAAAGCCCAUGAAUGUCAAAUUUUGCUUCAUCAGACCUCAUGACAGUUUUCCACUUGACCUCAGGCCAUCUGAAACAGUCCUCUAGAGUUGAUGUGUGUUAAAGUUUGAAUUCCUCUUUGAAAACCACAGUUUGAAAUUGCAUUAAUGGAUGAAGCGAUAAACUGUGUUCCAGGAUAAUGGUUUUUGAGGUGUUUUUGAGCUCCACUGCAGUGACCUCCACUGCAGAGUCAUGUCUGUUGUUGACACGUGACCUGAAGAUCACAGCCAUUCAGUACUGGUUUUGUCCUUGUCUCUUUUGAAGGUAGAUCUCAAUGAUUCUUGAAGUCUUUAAAUGGUAUUUUGCAUUUGAGAUCAUCCUCAAACUCUUUACAUAUGAUAAAUUUUAUUCUGAAAUUGUUGAACUGUUCGCUCACACAGUCUCUCACAGAGUGGUGAACUUCUCAUCUUCACUGCCGAGAGAUUCAUAUAAACUGAAUCAGUUGAGAGAUAAUCCUUCAGGUGAUUUGGUUCGGUGUUACACAACUUCGUAUAACUCCUCAAGCAUUUUGUUGCCCCUUUCUAAACCUUUUUAAAAGACUACAGACAUAAAAUUUUGAAACAAGCAGACAUUUUUUUAAUAUUUACAAUGAAAGUUUUUAGUUAAACAUUUGAUAAGCUGUCUCCAACCUUGUAAUGGGUUUGAAUGAUGCAAACCAACAAACUCUGUUUUUACCAACAUUUAAGUGUCUUAACCUUUCUGGAACUGGGGUUGAAGUCUGACUAAUAAACAAAACGGAGACAAAUUAUGUGGAAGAUGUAGUAUAUUUGCUUGUUUCCAGCCUGUAAACAUGUUUAAUUCAGCUGUAUUGUGGAGCAUUUAAAUAUAAGGAUCUACAGGAACUUACUCACUUUUGGCACCAGCCUCUAGUGGCCAUUCAAGGUACUGCUCUUUGUGACGCUUCCUAAUUUUUCUUUUGCCCUUUGCUCAAAAACCAAACGUUUUUAAGCACUGCCUGACCUAAUAGACCAACCACAUGUCUCUGCUACUUCUAAAUCCAUCAAGAGUAUUAACCUUAAUAUGAAGCGUUCAACUCUGAGGUAUCUAGUCACUCAAGUGUGCAGAUCAGAUUUUAUAAUGACUGACUGUAACAUUUGCUCUUAAUUAGUAAUAAUGAAUUUUAGAUGAAACAAUGGUUCACGGAUGAGACAUCCAAGUUUAGUGUGGCUCAUUAAUCCCUUAAAAAACUUGCCAUUUAUGAGUGUGAGUGUGUGUGAGUGUGUCUCUGUUUUCUGAGCCCUUACUCUGAACAGUGUUCACCAUCGCCCCACCCCUUCAGGCACUGACCUCCUUUUCAUCGUUCACACAUGCGGCACCUUUUUCUCGUCUCUUUCCUUCCCUGUCUCUCCAACAUGCUGAUUGGAUUCAUAUGCAUUUCACCUUAUCAAGCUCAACUUAAAAGAUCAAGUAAAUUAAGUUAGAAACAGCGUGAUAAAAAGCUGUGGGUGAUAAAACAGAAUUGCACAUGCUAAUGUUGAAUCCGUCACUUUAUGGACUGUUAUCUUUGUUAACAGUGCUGCUCUAUAACUAUGACAAAUGUGCCUUUUAAUCCUCUGGGGUUUUGUCACAUUUAAGGGAACAAAGUCGAGCAAACUGGAACAAACUUUUUUUAAUACCAGCCUCUGCCACAGCAAAGAAACUUUAAAUUUGGCACAAUGCAGGGAAAAAUUAUAAUAUCAAGUAUACAAGCCAAAGCAUCAAGGUUUUUUUUUUUUUCACAGGAGCUGAGAGAGGGUAGGUGUUAGCCAAGCAGCUGAGGAUAAAGAGUUUUUCCUAUGGACAGGGGCGCCAAAAUUGAGAAAAUCAUUACUAAUAUAAAGGUGAUUUAAUUGUCAAUCUUGGAAAAUAAUGUUUGGUAAAAUAUUUAUCACAUUUCAAUGAUUUAUAUAACUUCCUCUACUUGGCUGUAUUGUAUUUCUUCCUUUUGUAUAAAUUCAACACAGGCUUGUGCACAACAGCCUCUAAGCUGGUUUGUUCAACUGGCUUUUACAGUGAAAUUUGUAGUUAGAAUUAUUUAUACCGUCAUCGAAAUGUAACUUCCAUCAUGUAUGAAUGAAGUGCUGCCGUGGGAGGAAAGCUUUUAGCUCAAAGAAACAGGCGUCGUAUUAUAAUCAUGAUUAAUUGUAACGUUACACACGUUGUUUCCUGCUGUCAUAAUGUUUAUGAUGUUUAUCACAGAGCACUUAAGCCUCUGAUGACUGUGUAAGUAUUGUGCUGUGUCUGUGAUGCAGAGCAGAGGAGGCUUAUCGAGUAUAGAUCUGAGGCUCAUGUAGUGCACAUACAGAAUACACACACACACACACACACACACAUGUACAAGUGGGAGGAUCGAAUGUCAGAAGAGCAGCGUUUGCAGCAGAGGAGAACCAAAUGAACAAAGUUUUAAUAAUAUAUGAACCUGCAUUCAGAUAGAUAGAUAGAUAGAUAGAUACAGUAGAUAGAUAGAUAGAUAGAUAGAUAGGUAGAUAGAUAGAUAGAUAGAUAGAUAGAUGGAUAGAUGGACAGAUAGUUGAAUAGAUAGAUAGAUAGAUAGAUAGAUAGAUAGAUAGAUAGAUAGAUAGAUAGAUAGAUAGAUAGAUAGAUAGAUAGAUAGAUAGAUAGAUAGAUAAAGACAGGAAUGACAGACAUUUAUUCACAAAUCCGCUUAAAGUUAGUCUUUUCUUUGUAAAAGUUCAAGUUUAGUUUCAUUUCUGUUAAAUUGAAAUGGUUUGGACUUUUCUUGAUAUGUUGUUAGUUUUUGUUAAAGCUCCUGUGAGGAUUGUUUUUAAUAGUAACAGUAGUAUCACAUUUUUAACAGCAAAUAUUCCCAGUAAGUGCUUAAGAAGCAGGAUGAGGUUACUUUGUGAGAACAUGCACUUCACCAUACACAUUAAAAGACGAUAAACUAAAAGGUGUCCACAGGGGGCGCCAAAAUCAGCACUUAUCCAAAGUUUAUCACAGCAGCUCUGAAGAGGAGAAGCUCAGCCAUAGUGAGAUGGUUGGUGGGGGGAUGAAACAUCCUCUGAGGAUAAAAUGAAGCCCUGCACACACACACGUACACACAUACACAUGCACGCUAUCAUGUUUCCUCCCUUAGCGCAGUGACUCACAGCUCCACUACCUGUAUAGUAGUCCCUGUUACAUCAUGUCCUCUGCUGGAAUACCCCCUCCCACACGCUCUUCCUCCCGCUCUGUGAGUGUUCAGUUCACAGCCAGAAUAUGUAAUUAGAAACUUAGCGUUAGGUUUUAGUCAUACAAAGCAGGAUAAUUAUGAAAUAAAACCUCAGAAUCACUCACAGCUUGUUUCCAUUUAGAAAUAAGAGUGAUAAUGAUCAUUUCUCUCCAUUAGCAGAGAUUUAACAAUGAUAUUCUCCCUUGUGGUGCAAUUUUCAUACUGUCA